AUUGAACGCUGGCGGCAUGCCUUACACAUGCAAGUCGAACGGCAGCACGGGUGCUUGCACCUGGUGGCGAGUGGCGAACGGGUGAGUAAUACAUCGGAACAUGUCCUGUAGUGGGGGAUAGCCCGGCGAAAGCCGGAUUAAUACCGCAUACGAUCCACGGAUGAAAGCGGGGGACCUUCGGGCCUCGCGCUAUAGGGUUGGCCGAUGGCUGAUUAGCUAGUUGGUGGGGUAAAGGCCUACCAAGGCGACGAUCAGUAGCUGGUCUGAGAGGACGACCAGCCACACUGGGACUGAGACACGGCCCAGACUCCAACGGGAGGCAGCAGUGGGGAAUUUUGGACAAUGGGCGAAAGCCUGAUCCAGCAAUGCCGCGUGUGUGAAGAAGGACUUCGGGUUGUAAAGCACUUUUGUCCGGAAAGAAAUCCUUGACUCUAAUACAGUCGGGGGAUGACGGUACCGGAAGAAUAAGCACCGGCUAACUACGUG
This 486-nucleotide ribosomal RNA is filed under the name uncultured bacterium. Its description in RNAcentral is "partial 16S ribosomal RNA". It matches the Rfam family "Bacterial small subunit ribosomal RNA", at positions 30 to 507 of the family's 1533-position model. The record is from RNAcentral.